GGGGACGUGGCGCAACGGUAGCGCGUCUGAUUCCAGUUCUACUUGGAAUAUCCAGAAGGGUGUCUGUUCGAAUCAGGCCGUCCUCA
RNAcentral lists this transfer RNA (86 nucleotides) under Diaporthe ampelina. It matches the Rfam family "tRNA". Rfam says of the family: Transfer RNA (tRNA) molecules are approximately 80 nucleotides in length. Their secondary structure includes four short double-helical elements and three loops (D, anti-codon, and T loops). Lineage: Eukaryota; Fungi; Ascomycota; Sordariomycetes; Diaporthales; Diaporthaceae. The record is from Rfam by way of RNAcentral.